RNAcentral lists this ribosomal RNA (333 nucleotides) under uncultured bacterium. RNAcentral's name for it is "bacterial SSU rRNA". It matches the Rfam family "Bacterial small subunit ribosomal RNA", at positions 28 to 340 of the family's 1533-position model. The record is from RNAcentral.
GAUGAACGCUGGCGGCGCGCCUAACACAUGCAAGUCGAACGGAGUUAUCUUAUUAGAUCCCUUCGGGGUGAAGAUUUUUUAACUUAGUGGCGAACGGGUGAGUAACGCGUGAGUAACCUGCCUUCAAGAGGGGGACAACAGUUGGAAACGACUGCUAAUACCGCAUAAUAUAUCGAGAUCGCAUGAUAUUGAUAUCAAAGGAGCAAUCCGCUUGAAGAUGGACUCGCGUCUGAUUAGAUAGUUGGUGAGGUAACGGCUCACCAAGUCUACGAUCAGUAGCCGGACUGAGAGGUCGAUCGGCCACAUUGGGACUGAGACACGGCCCAGACUCCU